Molecule: long non-coding RNA, 1233 nt
Organism: Brassica rapa (field mustard)
Lineage: Eukaryota; Viridiplantae; Streptophyta; Magnoliopsida; Brassicales; Brassicaceae
Source: RefSeq, a predicted model, not a curated record
CGGAGUUCGGUUCCCGGCAGCCACCAGCUCUUCCGGCAAUGAUACUAUAGCUCCGCUGAAAAUUCCCAACAUUUUCUCUCUCUUCCGAGGAUACCAACUAAAACCAAAAAAAAACUAGUUUUGAAGAAAAUUAAACUGUUUGAGUUCUCUUGCUGCUAAAGAUGUAUGGGACAUGGAUGUUGUGACAAGGGAGAUCAAUGGUGUUUAAUUAUAUAGGAGGACAACGAAUGAUAUUUGAACUAAUACGUGGGGUCCAUGCGGAAGAGACGGAAUCAUUCUCGAGCGUUAGAUUCUAGUUUCGUGGGACCUGUGUUGCCAUAUGUGGUCUCUUGUCUUAUCCAAUCUCCUUUCUCAAAUACCUAAUUAUUGAAAAUUUACUCCAAUAAAAUAGCUUUUUAUAUAAAAAUAAUUGUGAAUGUGUUAUCUCAAAUUUCAUUGCAAAAGUAAUUCUUAACUUUUCAUUUAUAAAUUGUAAAAUACUGGUGAAUUUAAAUUUUAUUUAUUUGAUUUUUUUUUUGUUUCCACUUAUAAGCUAACAUACACUUUUCGUAAAACAAGAAGAAGGAUAACCAUCCACUUUGAUGAAUAAACACAGUUCUUACUUCGUACCCAGGUUCUAAAACGCGGCCGCACAGACCGAUUAAGCGGCGAGAAAACGCUUAGCGGUGGUCAAGCGUAGCGUUUUGACCCUAUUCGGCCAUGAAAUCGGAAUAUCAAAAUCGUUCACUUUUUUUAACGUUUUAAGCUUGGAAUCGAGUCUUAAAUUCUAAAUUUACAAGUUUGAAACAUAAAAAUCAAGAAAAACGUAAAAGAAAUUAUGAAAUCUGGGAAAACUAGGACAUGGCGGCUCUGAAAACGGUUACGUAACCCUAAAAUGACUGGAGGAUUUAGCAAAAAAAAAAAAAAAAAAAAAAAAAAAUGACUGGAGGAAGAAGAUGAUAAAUUUACGAUUGUGCCAUUAAUGAGUAAAAACAAAAUAAAAAUAAAAAAUAGAUACUGGAGGCGUUGAAGUCAGGGCCGGCUCAGAUGUAUUGUGGACCCUAGGGCGAGAUUUAAAAUAUGCCCUUUAGUUAUUCAUUGGUCCAAAUUAAAUCACUCAAUUUUCAUUAUUUAUUUUUAUAUGUGUAUAAAACCCAAAUCCACAAGAAAAUUAUAAAAAUGAUGUACUAUCGUCUACCGCAAUGGUCCAUAAAGCCCAAUAUGUUGAACAUAAAUUUGAUGUUUUUCCUUUGA